This 497-nucleotide ribosomal RNA is filed under the name uncultured bacterium. RNAcentral's name for it is "partial 16S ribosomal RNA". It matches the Rfam family "Bacterial small subunit ribosomal RNA", at positions 28 to 507 of the family's 1533-position model. The record is from RNAcentral.
GAUGAACGCUGGCGGCGUGCCUAAUACAUGCAAGUCGAGCGAACAGACGAGGAGCUUGCUCCUCUGACGUUAGCGGCGGACGGGUGAGUAACACGUGGAUAACCUACCUAUAAGACUGGGAUAACUUCGGGAAACCGGAGCUAAUACCGUAUAACAUGUUGAACCGCAUGGUUCAACAGUGAAAGACGGUCUUGCUGUCACUUAUAGAUGGAUCCGCGCCGCAUUAGCUAGUUGGUAAGGUAACGGCUUACCAAGGCAACGAUGCGUAGCCGACCUGAGAGGGUGAUCGGCUACACUGGAACUGAGACACGGUCCAGACUCCUACGGGAGGCAGCAGUAGGGAAUCUUCCGCGAUGGGCGAAAGCCUGACGGAGCAACGCCGCGUGAGUGAAGAAGGUCUUCGGAUCGUAAAACUCUGUUAUUAGGGAAGAACAAAUGUGUAAGUAACUAUGCACGUCUUGACGGUACCUAAUCAGAAAGCCACGGCUAACUACGUG